ACGAACGCUGGCGGCGUGCUUAACACAUGCAAGUCGAACGGUGAAGCGCCUUCCUUUUUGGUGGGUGUGGAUGAGUGGCGAACGGGUGAGUAACACGUGAGUAACCUGCCCCCUUCUUCUGGAUAACCGCAUGAAAGUGUGGCUAAUACGGGAUAUUCUGGGUCUGUCGCAUGAUGGGUCUGGGAAAGAUAUUGUUUCGGUGGGGGAUGGGCUCGCGGCCUAUCAGCUUGUUGGUGGGGUGAUGGCCUACCAAGGCGGUGACGGGUAGCCGGCCUGAGAGGGUGGACGGUCACACUGGGACUGAGACACGGCCCAGACUCCUACGGGAGGCAGCAGUGGGGAAUAGUGCACAAUGGGCGCAAGCCUGAUGCAGCGACGCCGCGUGAGGGAUGGAGGCCUUCGGGUUGUGAACCUCUUUCGCCAGUGAAGCAGACCUGCCUCGUUUGUGGGUGGGUUGACGGUAGCUGGAUAAGAAGCGCCGGCUAACUACGUG
Molecule: ribosomal RNA, 493 nt
Filed under: uncultured bacterium
Lineage: Bacteria
Description: partial 16S ribosomal RNA
Rfam family: Bacterial small subunit ribosomal RNA
Source: RNAcentral